RNAcentral lists this ribosomal RNA (1519 nucleotides) under metagenome. RNAcentral describes it as "bacterial SSU rRNA". It matches the Rfam family "Bacterial small subunit ribosomal RNA". The record is from RNAcentral.
AGGGUAUGAUACUGGCUCAGAACGAACGUUGGCGGCGUGCUUAACACAUGCCAGUCGAGCGAACACCCUUCGGGGUGUGAGCGGCGAAAGGGUGAGUAACGCGUGGGUAACCUACCUCCGGGAGCGGGAUAACGGCGUCCGCAAGGACUUUAGCGAAAGUGCCGCUAAUACCGCAUGAUGAUGUCGGAGAGCCGUUGCAAGGCGGCCCCCUCUGGCAUCCAAAUGGUCCGCCGCCCGGAGAGGGGCCCGCGUCCUAUCAGCUUGUUGGUAGGGUAAUGGCCUACCAAGGCGACGACGGGUAGCCGGCCUGAGAGGGUGACCGGCCACACGGGGACUGAGACACGGCCCCGAGCCCUACGGGGCGCAGCAGUGGGGAAUAUUAGGCAAUGGGCGCAAGCCUGACCUAGCGACGCCGCGUGGAGGAUGAAGGCCUUCGGGUUGUAAACUCCUGUCAGGGGUUAGGAAGUCCUUCGGGAUUGACGAAGGCCCCAAAGGAAGCCAUGGCUAACUCCGUGCCAGCAGCCGCGGUAAUACGGAGAUGGCAAACGUUGUUCGGAAUCACUGGGCGUAAAGCGCGCGUAGGCGGCUCGGUCAGUUGGGUGUGAAAUCCUUCGGCUUACCCGGAGAACUGCAUCCAAUACUUCCGGGCUAGAGGGCGGUAGGGGAGAGUGGAACUCCUGGUGGAGCGGUGAAAUGUGUAGAUAUCAGGAGGAACGCCGGUGGCGAAGGCGACUCUCUGGGCCGUCCCUGACGCUGAGUGUGCGAAAGCUAGGGUAGCGAACGGGAUUAGAUACCCCGGUAGUCCUAGCCGUAAACGAUGGGCACUUGGUAGUGGAGGCUUGCCUGCACUGCCGGAGCUAACGCGUUAAGUGCCCCGCCUGGGGAGUACGGCCGCAAGGUUAAAACUCAAAGUAAUUGACGGGCCCUUGCACAAGCGGUGGAGCAUGUGCCUUAUAUUCGAUUCAACGCGAAGAACCUUACCAAGGUUUGACAUGCUGGUGGUACGAACCCGAAAGGGUAAGGACCCAGGGUUAGCCUGGGAGCCAGCACAGGUGUUGCAUGGCUGUCGUCAGCUCGUGUCGUGAGAUGUUGGGUUAAGUCCCGUAACGAGCGAAACCCUUGUCCUUAGUUGCCAGCGGUUCGGCCGGGGACUCUAAGGAGACUGCCGUUGUCAAAACGGAGGAAGGUGGGGACGACGUCAAGUCAUCAUGGCCCUUAAGCCUUGGGCUGGACACGUGCUACAAUGGCCGGUACAAAGGGAAGCGAAAUCGCGAGAUGGAGCGAAGCCCAUAAAGCCGGUCCCAGUUGGGAUUGGAGGCUGCAACUCGCCUCCAUGAACCCGGAAUCGCUAGUAAUCGCGGAUCAGCUACGCCGCGGUGAAUAUGUUCCCGAGGGUUGUACACACCGCCCGUCAAGCCACGGAAGCUGGGAGUGCACGAAGUCGUUUGUCUAACCCGUUUCGGCGGGAGGACGGCGCCCACUGUAAACCCGGUGACUGGGACUAAGUCGAAACAAGGUA